This is a non-coding RNA of Ictidomys tridecemlineatus (thirteen-lined ground squirrel), 1733 nucleotides long. Lineage: Eukaryota; Metazoa; Chordata; Mammalia; Rodentia; Sciuridae. The record is from RefSeq and is a predicted model, not a curated record.
AGACAGCGAUCUUUUGUAUGUUGUUAUAAUUAACCGGGCCCGUUUCAUCAUCAGAUGAUAGAAUGGGAUGCAGUGUUAAAAAAAGAACUAAAGGAAGAAACCAGGAGAAAUGGCCAUUUUAAUUGCAUGUUUAUUCUCUCUUCGCUUUCCCAAAUUGGUUUCGUUUCCUCUGAGUGGGGGGAACGUAUUGACUUACCGCCAGGCGUCUGGGUGUCACAGACAGAGCCUCUGCUGAACUGACAGAUGAACAGGGCAGAGCCUUCGGGGGAGCAGUGGUGUGGAAGACUGUCUUCCACGAUGCAUCAGUUGCCUGGUUGCUCACCAUUAUCCCUCAGAUCAUCUAGAGAGGGAUGGCUUCCACCCUUCUUGUAACAUUGACAGACUCACCAACUGGGGAGGGGAAUUUCCUGCAAAUAAAAGUAUUCUCUGUAAAACUUCUUACUCACCUUCUCCCCAGAUCAGUACAAGAACAGGAAAGAGAGGAACUCAAAGGAGAGAGGAUAAGGAAGUCCAAUCAAGUUUGGAGGAUAUGUAGCUGUUGGUGCCAAUGGAGUAUUUCAAUGGCAAUGGUGCAUGGGCGUGUUCUAAAGACAUAAAACCAAGAUCAAGCUUGGUCCUUCCCAGGGCAACACUUUCUUCAAGACCCAGGUGAAGACUUAUUGUUAAAGGUGCAGAUGACAUGAAGUUGAAGGAAUCAUAAAGAUUGUCUUUUUACUGAACCAAUGACAUGUUUAUGUAAAUAGAAAUAUGCCAUAAUAAAACCCACCAUUCAGUAUGAUAGACAACAAUGAAAUGUAUUUUAUGUCAAAAUCAGGUAUCAAUUCUUAGGUCAGUGAAAAUACACUGCAUGAUGCCAAAUGUUGAACAUUUGUCCAAAAUGUUCCAAAGAGUUAACCCAAGGGCAAAUUGUGAAUUUUAGGUGAUAGUAAUUGUCCAUAUAGGCUCAUCAAUUGUAGCAAAUGUCCCACUCGGGUGGGAUAAUAAUGCAGGAUGCUGUUCAUGUGUGGAGGCAGAGGGUAUGUGGAAAAUUCUGAAACUUCCUCCUAGUUUUCCUGUAAAAAUAAAACUUCUUUAAACAAAAUUAUUAAAAAUUUAAAAAAAGAGGGAAAAAUACUAAGAUGGUUGCCUGGUACCAGAGACAGGGAGGACUAGGGAGUACAGAAUUUUAGUUUGGGGAAUAUGCAAAAGUUCUGGAGAUGCAUGUUGGUGAUCAUGGCCAAACAAUGUGAAUGUGCUUAGUGCCACUGAACUGUAUAUUUUAAAAUCUUGUUAUGUAUAUUUUAACAUAACAAAAAAUAAGAAGCAAGGUUUGGAUAACAAUAACAACAACAACAAUAAAAAACUCAAGUAUACAAAAAAUCUUUAAAAAACGAGACAGUUAAAAUUUAACAUGAAUAAUAGGAAACGUAAUACCUGAAUAUCAGUGUGGUUUAAUGUGAAAUUUGAAACUUGGAAUGUGAAAACUAUAGAAGACUUGGGUAAAUGCAGUCAAUGUGAAAAGUUUCUGAUUAUUCUGCUCCCAUGUAAAAGUUUUAGAAGAUGCUGGUCAGCCUACUCCAUCUCUACAAAGAUGUUGUGUUCCUUUUCUUUAGAUCUCCCAUACCUAUUUUGAGAUUCCUUUUAAAGAGCUCAUGAUUUUAUCCUAAUUUAUAUAUAUGAAUAUAUAUUACCAUAUGAUUGUAUAUACACGUAGGUUCCAGAAGAUAAAACAUUAGUGGGAUUAAUAUCCUAAG